GACGAACGCUGGCGGCGUGCUUAAUACAUGCAAGUCGAACGGAAAGGCCGGAGUUUUGUGUGGUGCUCGAGUGGCGAACGGGUGAGUAACACGUGAGUAACCUGCCCUGGACUGGGGGAUAACUUCUGGAAACUGUGGCUAAUACCGGAUGACAACUGCUGUUGCAUGGUGAGGGUUGGAAAGUUUCGGCGGCUGCGCUUGCACACGGGGCUGCGCAGCAUUUUGGUGGGGUAGUGGCUUAGGAUGGCUUUGACGGUCAGCCGUACUGAGAGGGUGACAGGGCACAUUGGGACUGAGAUACGGCCAGGACUGCUACGGGAGGCAGCGGUGGGGAAUAUUGCACACUGGGCGGAAGGCGGGUGCAGGAUCUCCGCGUGCGGGAUGACGGCCUUCGGGUUGGAAACAGUUUGAGCCUGUGAAGAAGAGUGAGUGACGGUAUUUGGUCAAGAAGCACCGGCUAACUACGUG
This 468-nucleotide ribosomal RNA is filed under the name uncultured bacterium. RNAcentral describes it as "partial 16S ribosomal RNA". It matches the Rfam family "Bacterial small subunit ribosomal RNA", at positions 28 to 507 of the family's 1533-position model. The record is from RNAcentral.